Molecule: ribosomal RNA, 540 nt
Filed under: Sungouiella intermedia
Lineage: Eukaryota; Fungi; Ascomycota; Pichiomycetes; Serinales; Metschnikowiaceae
Description: eukaryotic LSU rRNA
Rfam family: Eukaryotic large subunit ribosomal RNA
Source: RNAcentral
AGCGGAGGAAAAGAAACCAACAGGGAUUGCCUCAGUAACGGCGAGUGAAGCGGCAAAAGCUCAAAUUUGAAAUCCUUCGGGAGUUGUAAUUUGUAGGUUGGGAGACCCCGCGGCUAGUGGCACCAAGUCCCUUGGAACAGGGCGCCUUAGAGGGUGAGAGCCCCGUAGGUACCACAACACCGUCUUGUGUCUCCUCUCCAAAGAGUCGAGUUGUUUGGGAAUGCAGCUCAAAGUGGGUGGUAAAUUCCAUCUAAAGCUAAAUACCGGCGAGAGACCGAUAGCGAACAAGUACAGUGAUGGAAAGAUGAAAAGCACUUUGAAAAGAGAGUGAAACAGUACGUGAAAUUGUUGAAAGGGAAGGGCUUGCAAGCAGACACGGCCUUCGUGCCGGGCCAGCAUCGGUUGCUAGGGGUGGAUAAGGAACAAGGAAUGUAGCUCCUCGGAGUAUUAUAGCCUUGCGCGAUACACCCACUGGCGACCGAGGCCUGCGGUAUUCUUUACCUAGGAUGCUGGCGUAAUGGUUGCAAGCCGCCCGUCUUG